GACGAACGCUGGCGGCGUGCUUAACACAUGCAAGUCGAACGGAAAGGCCCUGCUUUUGUGGGGUGCUCGAUUGGCGAACGGGUGUGUAUCACGUGUGUAUCCUCUCCUUGACUUUGGGAUAACUUCAGGAAACUGGGGCUCAUACCGGAUAGGAGCUCUUGCUGCAUGGUGGGGGAUGGAAAGUUUCGGCGGUUGUGGAUGGACUCGCGGGUUAUCAGCUUGUUAGUGGGGUAGUGGCUUACCAAGUUUUAGACGGGUAGCCGGCCUGAGAGGGGGACCGGCGACCAGAGGACUAAGAUACGCAGCAGUCGGCUACGGGAGGCAGCAGUGGGGAGUAUUGCACAAUGAGCGGAAGCCUGAGGCGGCAACGCCGGGUGCGGGAUGACGGCCUUCUGGUUGUAAACCGCUUUCGACUGAGACGAAGCGGGAGUGACGGUAAUGAGUAAAGAAGCACCGGCUAACUACGUG
This 468-nucleotide ribosomal RNA is filed under the name uncultured bacterium. Its description in RNAcentral is "partial 16S ribosomal RNA". It matches the Rfam family "Bacterial small subunit ribosomal RNA", at positions 28 to 507 of the family's 1533-position model. The record is from RNAcentral.